This 253-nucleotide ribosomal RNA is filed under the name uncultured bacterium. Its description in RNAcentral is "partial 16S ribosomal RNA". It matches the Rfam family "Bacterial small subunit ribosomal RNA", at positions 524 to 776 of the family's 1533-position model. The record is from RNAcentral.
UACGAAGGGGGCUAGCGUUGCUCGGAAUCACUGGGCGUAAAGCGCACGUAGGCGGCUUCUUAAGUCAGGGGUGAAAUCCUGGAGCUCAACUCCAGAACUGCCUUUGAUACUGAGAAGCUUGAGUCCGGAAGAGGUGAGUGGAACUCCGAGUGUAGAGGUGAAAUUCGUAGAUAUUCGGAAGAACACCAGUGGCGAAGGCGGCUCACUGGUCCGGUACUGACGCUGAGGUGCGAAAGCGUGGGGAGCAAACAGG